This 37-nucleotide non-coding RNA is filed under the name Intestinibacter bartlettii CAG:1329. The record is from RNAcentral. Lineage: Bacteria; Bacillati; Bacillota; Clostridia; Peptostreptococcales; Peptostreptococcaceae.
GUUAAAGAAUAAGUUCCAUUAAAACAAGGAUUAAAAC